UACGUAGGGGGCUAGCGUUGUCCGGAAUCAUUGGGCGUAAAGCGCGUGUAGGCGGCCCGGUAAGUCCGCUGUGAAAGUCGGGGGCUCAACCCUCGAAAGCCGGUGGAAACUGUCUGGCUAGAGUCCGGAAGAGGAGAAUGGAAUUCCUGGUGUAGCGGUGAAAUGCGCAGAUAUCAGGAAGAACACCCGUGGCGAAGGCGGUUCUCUGGGACGGUACUGACGCUGAGACGCGAAAGCGUGGGGAGCGAACAGG
This 253-nucleotide ribosomal RNA is filed under the name uncultured bacterium. RNAcentral's name for it is "partial 16S ribosomal RNA". It matches the Rfam family "Bacterial small subunit ribosomal RNA", at positions 524 to 776 of the family's 1533-position model. The record is from RNAcentral.